This 472-nucleotide ribosomal RNA is filed under the name uncultured bacterium. RNAcentral's name for it is "bacterial SSU rRNA". It matches the Rfam family "Bacterial small subunit ribosomal RNA", at positions 28 to 507 of the family's 1533-position model. The record is from RNAcentral.
GAUGAACGCUAGCGGCAGGCCUAAUACAUGCAAGUCGAACGGUGGUAGCAAUACCAUAGUGGCGCACGGGUGCGUAACACGUAUGCAACCUACCUUAUACUUAGGGAUAGCCUUUGGAAACGGAGAUUAAUACUUAAUGGUAUAUUAGACUGGCAUCGGUUUGAUAUUAAAGAUUUAUUGGUAUAAGAUGGGCAUGCGUCCAAUUAGUUAGUUGGUGAGGUAACGGCUCACCAAGACGAUGAUUGGUAGGGGAACUGAGAGGUUAAUCCCCCACACUGGCACUGAGAUACGGGCCAGACUCCUACGGGAGGCAGCAGUAGGGAAUAUUGGGCAAUGGACGCAAGUCUGACCCAGCCAUGCCGCGUGCAGGAUGAAGGCGUUAUGCGUUGUAAACUGCUUUUAUACAGGAAGAAACAACGCUACGUGUAGCGUCUUGACGGUACUGUAGGAAUAAGGAUCGGCUAACUCCGUG